Molecule: RNA transcript, 3527 nt
Organism: Mustela erminea (ermine)
Lineage: Eukaryota; Metazoa; Chordata; Mammalia; Carnivora; Mustelidae
Gene name: myb-related transcription factor, partner of profilin-like
Exons: 3
Source: RefSeq, a predicted model, not a curated record
UCUCCGGGGUGGAGGCCCAAGGGCAGAGCCUAGCAUCCCACCCAGGUCCCACCUGAGACCCCUGAGCAGGGUGGAGAAGAGAGAAACGACCACGGGGAGACCAGACAGCGAGCGGAGGACGCGAGGGAAGACGCCUAAGGAGCUUGAGGAGACGCCCGCUGUGCCCCGGAUCACUGGAGAGCUUUGGUCAUGAGAGCAUAAAAAGAUCUGGCAAGUACUUCUGUAAGUGGGAGGGUGAGGCUGCAGCGGCACUGCCAGUUCUGCAUUCAGUGCUUCUUAUAUGGAGAACAUUUAGUCCCACAGUGUGUGCAUGCAGUAUUUAAAGGUAUGUAUUUUUCACAUAAUUUGUCCCUAACCACAAACUACAUCCUUUAUGUGUUGUUCAGCCAAAGCAGCUUCAAUGUGAUCCAGAGGUACAGGAAACCCUGGCUGUGUUGGGCCUUCUGGGAAAUACCAUGUUACUCUCCAAAAUUGUGCCUCCCUAGAGGAUUUUCUGUAGUAGUUUUACUUCCGCCUAAAUUUCACCCUGUGAACUGCCGUUAAUCUCCAAAUCAAACAGUUCCACUCACUGGUCAGGGACCUGGGCUUUGGCCUCAGACAGAUCUAAAUUCAAGGAUGGCUUCCAUCAUUAAAGCUAAUGGGACAAUAGGCAAGUUACUUAACUACUCCAAGCUUUGAUAUUCUUUCCUCUUUGUAGAAUGAAAAAAUAAAGAUAUCUACCACUCAUGAUGCUUAGCCCUUAGUCACACGAUAGCUAAUGGUAUAAGUCCUUAAUAAAUAUUAAUAUAAUACUAAUAUUAUUAACUUUUAUCAUCACUUACCAACUUUCAAUCACCAGAGUCACUCUUUGCCUUUAAGCUUUACCUAAUAUGACUUCCUGUCUGAAAUGACUCAUGGUUUCUCUUCACAGCUCAGAGUCCUACAUUUGUAUUCAUAAUUACCUCUUAAGGAAGUCUGUUGAGAUUUAGUUAAUUCUUCCAACACAUGUUUUCUUCAAAAACUUUUUUAUAUUUAUACCCAGGCUUAGUAAUAGUAAAUGUUUUCAAAUAUGUUUUUAAGUCUUCACUUCCUCAAAGGAAUCACAUUAGCAGGCUACACUUAUCAUUAGUCAAACUACUUUGUGAAAACCACUUUUAGAUUUGCCAUCAAAAUAUGUGAUGAAAUUUUUAAAAUAUCUUCAACACAGGAAAAUCAUCUUUGCAUUCAUUCAUUUUACAAAUAUUUACUUAAUGCUUACUAUAAGCUGGAGAGACAAUAAGGUAAACUGGCAAGAUACUUAGUAUAUUAAAGUGUAACUGCUAACAAGAGAAAUAAGGCAGGGAAGGGUGCUAAAAGCGUUGGGAAAGUAACAUUAAAGACAUACAAAAAAGAAGGAAGCCAUGCUGGUGUCUGAGAGAAGAGGAAGAGCAAGCAAAGAGGAAACACCCAAAGCAGAGGUAGAACUGCCCUGCAGGAGGACCAUCCAGGAGGCUGCCAUGGGGAGAAGAGGGAGAAGGGGCUGUGGAGGGAGCAUGAAAGGUUGUGGCCCAAGAGGCAAUCAUGUAGGGUCUUAUGGGUCAUUUAUAAGGGUUUUGGCUUUCUUUGUAGUGAGAUGGGAGGCUAUAAUAGGCUUUACACAGAAGCAACAUGAUCUGAUUUAUAUCUUCACAGAGAACUUUCUUUGGCUCUUCUUUUAAGGAGUGCAGAGACAGAAGGGGAGACCAAUCAGGAGGUUCAUGAAGUAAUCCAGCCCACAGUAAAACCAGAAGGCCUGCAGUACACGUGGCUGAGGAGCAUUUUGGAGAAGACAGGUGGAUGAAAAACUAAGGCCGGUCUUCAUGAUUGACCUGUGGCUUAGUGAAAGCUGCCACUGGGCAAAAGUGGAUAUUGAGCUAUGGAGCGAGACCUGGAUACAGACUGAAUUCUCAGCAGUAACAGAAUACAGGAAAGGAGAGUAGAGUCUUCUUUUGCAACUUCCUAUAGUGUAAUGAGUGCUUAAUAAUCACUGUUGACUGACCCUUCAGAUGGGGGUGGGAGGAUGGAAGGCGUAUUGUUGAAGGGGUAGGGAGGGAGGUGGUGAAUCUGUGCAUGUUUCAACUCUCAUAGGAAAAACAAAUGGACCAAAUAAAACUAUCAUCCAUUUAUCUUCCCACAGUGGCACAAAAUGACAAAAAAGAAAAUAUUCCCUCUAAAGAAAAGUUUCUUCUAUAUUCUGCUCCCAGUAGUAACAAUUACAACUAGAACUACAAGUAAAAUUGGCUUACAUUAAUGAAAAUACAUAUUAUAUCACAACCAAAGCUCUGAAAACUCAAAAUAUUCAGGGGAAAGAAACCCCAAAGAGACAUUUGUUAUAGUGCUUGGGGUAAAAGCAAAACAUUAAAAUAAUAAAAACAUCUUCCAAAUCAAUCAAAUGGUGCUCAGCUUUAGGUAACUUUAGGUUACUUCAUAUCAAUAAAGAAAAACACAUCAGGAAAUCUAAACCUUAAGUAAGCAAUGAUGUUAUAAAUAUGAAUGAAACAGCUCUGAACUAUUUCCAGCUUUGCCUCAAAAUUCCUUUGGUCUGACGGCAGAACAUAUUAUUUCCUGUUCUCAUGCUCUGUGGGAAGUAACACACCCAUUUCAAUCUUUGUCACUUUUUUCCUGUAUCAACAUCCACAGGAGGAAUGAUUUUGGUGCUGCCUACCCGAGGUUGAGAGCUCCGAUCCAUAAGCCAUCUGGCAACGAGUCUCAAACUUUUGUCAGAGUUACCUGGAGAGCCUGUUACUAUCCUGGGAUCUUCUCCAGAUACAGUGAUUCAGCAGGCUUGGUGAAGGAGUCAGGAAUCUGCAUUUCUAACAAGUACCCCAGAUGAUUCUAGAAGAGGUGGUCCACAUGUCCUUCUUUGAGAAAUUCAGGUCUAGAGUGACCAGAGUAAUUUUUCAUGUCUGCUUUCUAAUCAAGGAGAGUAAGUUUCAAACUCUCUUUUCUGUAAUGCCCAUGACAGGGGUAAACAGGAUUAUAGGAAAAUACAUGCAAGCAUAUAUAACAAAGCUUUCAUGACCUUUACAAAAUAUGUAUGUUUACACAUAAUUCAAUAGGAAAUUCAAAUAACUAGAAUUUUCACUUUACCCUACAUUAGAUGAGGUUCAUUAUGAAAUGAGGCACUGCAAGAUUCUGACUUUCCUCCUGAGUCAUCAGUGAUUAAAUUAAGCUCCCCAGAGUUUUAGCACUAUGAAUAUUUUAUUGUAUUCUUUGAAAACUGGUUAUUUUAAAAUCAGAUUAUAAAUCUUAGGUAAUUGAAGUAACUAAAUUCAUUAAGACCUAGCUUUAAAAAUUACUCCAGCCAAACAGGAAUUUUUGUACUAAUCUAAUACUAGAAUAUGAACUACUGUAUUAUAAGUACUUAUUUUUUUUUCUGAACAUAAUGAAAAUAGCAUACUUCUCUAAACCUAUCAGUUACAUGGGCAAUAUUUAUCCCACCAAUCUCCAAUUAUGAUAAGGCUCUGUUUUAUAAUGAAAUAGCAUUUUAGGUAUAUUCAGCUGCCCUUAAGGAAAACCAAGAAAAGCGA